Long non-coding RNA from Echinops telfairi (small Madagascar hedgehog), 278 nucleotides. RefSeq lists it as uncharacterized. The record is from RefSeq and is a predicted model, not a curated record. The transcript has 3 exons. NCBI's taxonomy places the organism in Eukaryota, Metazoa, Chordata, Mammalia, Afrosoricida, Tenrecidae.
GGACCUGCUCUGACCAGCCUCCCAGGUCCUGCUUCUCUCAUCAAAUCAAAAGCCUAGUGCCAGCGAACAGUUCCGACUGCAGCGACCCCAGACUGACUAGGCCUGCCCGCGGGAUUUCCUCGCUCGCGGUCUCCAUGGAAGCCACGACUUUCUCAGCCGGAGUGACUGUCAGGGGCUUAUACCAUCUGUUUCUGGCGACAUAUGCUGUUGGACAACUGGAUUUCUUAACCAAGCAGUGAAGACGACAGCUGCCUAAAACCAGCAUCCAUUGUGUCAUC